This 274-nucleotide unclassified non-coding RNA is filed under the name fungal sp. RNAcentral describes it as "partial internal transcribed spacer region". The stretch from base 1 to 46 matches the Rfam family "Eukaryotic small subunit ribosomal RNA", at positions 1786 to 1831 of the family's 1831-position model. Lineage: Eukaryota; Fungi. The record is from RNAcentral.
AAGUCGUAACAAGGUUUCCGUAGGUGAACCUGCGGAAGGAUCAUUAACGAAGUUUGGUCAAGUCUGCGGUAUGGGCCUUCCCAGGCUCUUUACCCAGUUUGGCUGAUUUCCCGCCCUUUUUGGUUAUAAAUCUUCUUGUUGCUUUGGUAGGGCGGUUUUACAAGCUGCCCUACCAAAGGUUUACUAAAACUCCUGGUUAAACUUUUUGUUAUCGAGGAUGAAUAAUCCUACUGAGAAUAAACCAAAACUUUCAACAACGGAUCUCUUGGUUCCG